Hordeum vulgare subsp. vulgare (domesticated barley) is the source of this 125-nucleotide non-coding RNA. Lineage: Eukaryota; Viridiplantae; Streptophyta; Magnoliopsida; Poales; Poaceae. The record is from Rfam.
AUCAUACUCCCUCCGCCCGGAAAUACUUGACAUAGGAAUGGAUGCAUCUAGAUGUAUGUCAGUUCUAGAUACAUCCAUUUUUAUGAAUUUGUGCAACAAGUAAUUCCGGACGGAGGGAGUACUUU